GUGUUAUUGGUCACAUGGUUAGCAGAUGUUAUUGGUCACAUGGUUAGCAGAUGUUAUUGGUCACAUGGUUAGCAGAUGUUAUUGGUCACAUGGUUAGCAGAUGUUAUUGGUCACAUGGUUAGCAGAUGUUAUUGGUCACAUGGUUAGCAGAUGUUAUUGGUCACAUGGUUAGCAGAUGUUAUUGGUCACAUGGUUAGCAGGUGUUAUUGGUCACAUGGUUAGCAGAUGUUAUUGGUCACAUGGUUAGCAGAUGUUAUUGGUCACAUGGUUAGCAGAUGUUAUUGGUCACAUGGUUAGCAGGUGUUAUUGGUCACAUGGUUAGCAGAUGUUAUUGGUCACAUGGUUAGCAGAUGUUAUUGGUCACAUGGUUAGCAGAUGUUAUUGGUCACAUGGUUAGCUGAUGUUAUUGGUCACAUGGUUAGCAGAUGUUAUUGGUCACAUGGUUAGCAGAUGUUAUUGGUCACAUGGUUAGCAGAUGUUAUUGGUCACAUGGUUAGCAGAUGUUAUUGUCUAGUCUAGCGAAAUGCUUGUGCUUCUAGUUCUAGUAAAAAUUCCCUGUCUUAGGUCAUUUGGAU
This 575-nucleotide long non-coding RNA is filed under the name Salmo salar (Atlantic salmon). Its description in RNAcentral is "lncRNA (ENSSSAG00000112206.1)". The record is from RNAcentral. Lineage: Eukaryota; Metazoa; Chordata; Actinopteri; Salmoniformes; Salmonidae.